UAGCUUUCAUAUAAUUUCUUAUCAGUUUGAGGUGGUAUAAGAGUAUUACUUGGUUUGGUUGUCUCUCUUGUUAACCUGACUUUUUCAAUUUUUGCUAGUGUUUCAAAAAAACAUUAAUAUUGCUUGUGUUUCUCUUUCUAACUUGUUCAAUUUUUCGUACAUGUUCUUCUUUGAAUAAACAGGAUAUGAUGGAGCCUAAGAAGACAGCUUCGUAUGCAAGUAAAUGAAAACCCGAUCUUUUCUCGACCAACAAGCUAAUGAUUACCUAACUGAUCAGGUAUGUUUAAUAUCUAGGAUUUAUGAAAUGGACAUAACUUAAACUUUCUAAGUUUCAGCAUCAUCAGAUUGUAGCCUUUUACAAGUCACAAUAGGAAUUGUAUUAUGUGUAUAUAGACACACGUAUGCGUAUCUCGAUAUUCACACAAUGAAAUUUAACUUUAAAAAAAAUAAAAAAUCAGAGAUGAACACUACCUGCAAUUAGUUUUCAAAUUUGUUAUUGUUCUUUACCUAUUGCAUUUAUUUAUGAGCAAAGACAAAGGUAUUUUAAAUGAUAAAGUCAACCUUAUACCAUCUUCUUGUCUCUGGUUUCUCGACGUCCUACCUUUGUAAAAGUCAUCCGUUCAUUUUACAUUCUUCUUCUUUUUCUCCCAAGUGGAUAUCACUAACUAGAAAUUUGGUUGAAGACUAAUGUGGUUUGAUUUAGUUUCUCAGGAGCUUGUUGAAGAAAUUGCUUUGUGCUAUAUGAUCGAUCUGGUUACGGAGAGAGGAACCCAAAUCUAAAAUGUUCGUUGAAGAGCGAAACCUCCGAUGUUCAAGAACUAGUGGAUGAUGGACGGAUUCAAUCUUCUAUUUGAUCGGAAUCUCAAUAGUGGUUACUAGAGUAGUUGUUGUCGUUUUCUAUAAGUAUGAGCUUGUAUUGUUGUGAAAAGAAGCGUGGUAAUGAAAUGAGUUUAUUC
This 956-nucleotide long non-coding RNA is filed under the name Arabidopsis lyrata. RNAcentral describes it as "long non-coding RNA (ALYR_LNC000571)". The record is from RNAcentral. Lineage: Eukaryota; Viridiplantae; Streptophyta; Magnoliopsida; Brassicales; Brassicaceae.